RNAcentral lists this ribosomal RNA (1498 nucleotides) under metagenome. Its description in RNAcentral is "bacterial SSU rRNA". It matches the Rfam family "Bacterial small subunit ribosomal RNA". The record is from RNAcentral.
AGAAUUUGAUCUUGGUUCAGAUUGAAUGCUGACGGCGUGGAUGAGGCAUGCAAGUCGAACGGGGUGUUUUAGGAUUUAUUCUAAAAUAUCUAGUGGCGGAAGGGUUAGUAAAAGAUGAAUAAUUCACCCUUGGUAUAGGGAUAACCUAUGGAAACAAAGGCUAAUACCCAAUGAGGUCGUCAUAAGAGAACUUAUGGGGAUUAAAGGGUGUCUUCGGACACUCGACGAAGGAGGAGUUCAUCAGAUAUCAUCUAGUUGGAGUGAUAAAAGCACCCCAAGGCAAAGACGUCUAGGCGGACUGAGAGGUUGACCGCCAACACUGGGACUGAGACACUGCCCAGACUUCUACGGAAGGCUGCAGUCGAGAAUCAUUCGCAAUGGGCGAAAGCCUGACGAUGCGACGCCGUGUGAACGAAGAAGGCCCUCGGGUCGUAAAGUUCUUUCGCAUGGGAGAAAGUGUGCAAACAUUGAUAGUACCAUGUAAAGAAGCACCGGCUAACUCCGUGCCAGCAGCUGCGGUAAUACGGAGGGUGCAAGCAUUAAUCGGAAUUAUUGGGCGUAAAGAGUGCGUAGGUGGAAAAGGAAGUCAGAAAUGAAAUUUCAAAGCUCAACUUUGAAGCAAUUACUGAAACUCCUUAUCUAGAGGAUAUACGGGGAAAAUAGAAUUUCACAUGUAGCGGUGAAAUGCGUAGAUAUGUGAAGGAAUACCGGUGGCGAAAGCGGUUUUCUAGUAUAAACCUGACACUGAGGCACGAAAGCAAGGGUAGCAAACAGGAUUAGAUACCCUGGUAGUCCUUGCCGUAAACGAUGUAUACUAGAUGUAGAAGGUCUCAACCCCUUUUGUGUCGAAGCUAACGCGAUAAGUAUACCGCCUGAGGAGUACGCUCGCAAGGGUGAAACUCAAAAGAAUUGACGGGGACCCGCACAAGCAGUGGAGCAUGUGGUUUAAUUCGAUGCAACGCGAAGAACCUUACCCAGGCUUGACAUGCAAGUGAAUAUAUGAGAGAUUAUAUAGUCCCUCGGGACACUUGCACAGGUGCUGCAUGGCUGUCGUCAGCUCGUGCCGUGAGGUGUUGGGUUAAGUCCCGCAACGAGCGCAACCCUUAUCGUUAGUUACCAGCAUGUAAAGAUGGGGACUCUAACGAGACUGCCUGGGUUAACCAGGAGGAAGGUGAGGAUGAGGUCAAGUCAGCAUGGCCCUUAUGUCUGGGGCUACACACGUGCUACAAUGGUCGGUACAAAAGGCAGCGAAACCAAGAGGUGAAGCAAAUCCUAGAAAACCGAUCUCAGUUCGGAUUGUAGUCUGCAACUCGACUACAUGAAGUUGGAAUUGCUAGUAAUGGCGAGUCAUCAAUAUCGCCGUGAAUACGUUCCCGGGUCUUGUACACACCGCCCGUCACAUCAUGGAAGUUGGUUACGCCCGAAGUCGCUGACCGAACCGCAAGGACGGAGGCGCCGAGGGUGAAGCCGAUAACUGGGAUGAAGUCGUAACAAGGUA